RNAcentral lists this long non-coding RNA (258 nucleotides) under Salvia miltiorrhiza (redroot sage). RNAcentral's name for it is "long non-coding RNA (SMIL_LNC012773)". The record is from RNAcentral. Lineage: Eukaryota; Viridiplantae; Streptophyta; Magnoliopsida; Lamiales; Lamiaceae.
GAAUAAAAAGGUUUUAUGAAAGCAAAUAGAAUUUUGAGUGAAUCAAUUGAGCGCAGAUCUAAACAUUGAUGAGGUUAAAUAUGUGGCGCGGAGCCUCAGUAGUCAAUCCAUAUACAUUUACAUUUGGCUUCUCGCAUACAAUACAAGUGUUUAGAAGUGUGUGUCACAUUAAACUGGUUUUAAUGUUGUUAUAGUUUAUCCGAGGAUUUUAAUGUUGUUGAUUGCGAAUCCAGAUAUUCUUUGGGAUAUUAAAUAAAC